Podarcis muralis (Common wall lizard) is the source of this 770-nucleotide non-coding RNA. The record is from RefSeq and is a predicted model, not a curated record. NCBI's taxonomy places the organism in Eukaryota, Metazoa, Chordata, Lepidosauria, Squamata, Lacertidae.
CAAAUUUUACUAGCAGAACUCUUCAAAAUAAAACAGAUCCAAAUGAUACAUCCAAAGAUAUUCAUACAACGUCUUGUGCUGUUCAGCACAGUCUCAGCACCUUAGAAAAUAUGAAAUGAUCCAAACAGACCUAGAAGCAGAGGUCUGUCUCUCCCACAUCCUUCAUUCCAGCCUCCAUCGGCCUUAGGCGGCUUACUCUCCCUUCAGGAGAGCUUUAUUUACAUAUUCACUCCAUGGAGUUUGGACUCAAAGGCAACUUCCUUCAAAAUGGAGAUUUGCUUGUCGAGCUGAACAGGUUACUGUGAAAAUCUUGUUUGUUGGGAUUGCAGUGGGAUGUUGGCUAUGGAUGAUUAAAGCAUCAUUUUCUUUUCUCUUGUCCUUCAAGAAAGGCUCAUUGGGGCAAAAGCAAUCCUCUAUUCUCCGUACGCUCUAUAUGCUGCCAUGAUGGUUCUUGUGGGCUGCAUCGUUGUCUCAACUUUUAUGAUCGUCUUGUAUAACCGUGAAAUGAGAAAAAGAACCAUCUUUCUCAAAGGAGUGAAUGAGAUUUCAGAUUACAUGGGCAGGAAGUAUCCAGAUCUCCAGAGUUUGGAAGAUGUUGACAGAAUUAAUGUAGCUACGAAUUUAUCAUUGAGGCUGACUGAAGAGAACAAAAAAAAUAAGGAACUGCAAGUUGCAAUUGGUAAGUUACUCUGAGACUGUGAUGCUGAAUAAUGCAGGGAGAGCCCAUUACAAAACAAAAACAGAAACCUGUUAUUGACUUUAGAGGGGCG